Thamnophis elegans (Western terrestrial garter snake) is the source of this 1509-nucleotide long non-coding RNA. RefSeq lists it as uncharacterized. The transcript has 2 exons. Lineage: Eukaryota; Metazoa; Chordata; Lepidosauria; Squamata; Natricidae. The record is from RefSeq and is a predicted model, not a curated record.
ACCAAGCGUGAGGCUGAAUGAGAAGGAAAAGAGAGACAUCCAGGCGUUGCCAAGAGACGGGCUGUUCUGACGCGCGCCCAGAUGGACCCGUCGCCCUGGUGACCGGGAAGGUGGGGUGACGUUUGCGCAGAGAGGAAGGAGAGGUGAAACAACCAUCCCCCCUCCGCUUGAUUCACCACGUGAUCGUUUGUUAUCAUUGAGAGGGUCGCCCCCGCGGGAGCACAGCACCUAGGAUUAACCCUCCGCACGCCGGCGCUCGGGUUGUGCUUGGUCCGCCGUACUUCCAAGGACAGGCUCUUUGAAAGGUUUUGUGAAUGUACAUGACAUCUUCAGUGAUCACUCCACCAUAACUGGUAGUAUAGUCUUUAUUAUCAUUGUACAAAAUAAAUACAACAAAAUUGAUGGUGUAUAUUAGACAAUUUACAUUGAUAAAGAACCCCUGAUUACAGUAAGUAACCCUCUUUUCUGUCUGCUAAUUUUAGUUAAAUAUUAAUGCUGUGUUUUCAGAUACUAAACAUUUGAGGAGCUAACACCUUUUAAAAAGAAAGAAAGUGCUUUGGGGAAUUGCAGGCCACUGUGAAAUCUGUAUAGGAAUGUGCCUGUUUUUCCUCUCAAUACUUUGUGGAGUCUUAUUGAUGUGUCUCUAUGUGGGGUCUGUCCCAAAGAAUUUAGUGGCUUGAGCUAAAGAGAUCAGAUUACAAUCAGAUGCUUGUUCGCAUCCCUUCUGUGAGUAAAUUAACUUAAGGUUGAGAAAAAUUAAAAUGCAACAAUAGUCUGAAUUUUUCUAUGUGGCAUAUUUUUUCUUUAAUUUUCAGUCCCGGAAUCCUUCUGAAACCAAUUUGAAGUCAUAGCAUUCAUUUCUGUUAGCUUUAAAACAUUGAGAACAAGCAGGAAACACUAUGAACAGUUGUAUCUUCAACCAACCAGUAAGGGUUAAAAACUAAUAAAGGAGAAUAUUUGUAUGGAUGGUUUUUCUGUAGAUUUGUGUUUCUAGUUUCCCAUUGUGGUCUCUGCUGAUCAGGAUGUCCAUGAAGGGUAGCGAGUUGUGAAGAAAACAACAACUCACUACCCUUUCUGGACAUCAUGAUCAGCACAGACUACAAUGGAAAACUGGAAACACAAGUCUACAGAAAAAUCACCCAUACUAGCCAGGCACUCCACCACCAAAGCAACAACCAACCUCCCACAAAAGAAGAUAUGUAAGCAUUUAAAUAAGUCCAACACACUAGAGCAACCUGGAACAGCAGAAAAAGGAAAUAGAGCAUUUAUAUAGCAUCUAUACAACAUAUUCCAACGGAAUGGAUAUCCACGCAACUUUAUCAAAUAGUUCCUGACCACUCAACCUCAUACAGCACAACCAACACAAAUGCUAAAAAGAAUUAUACUGCCAUACGUUAUGAGUUAUGAAAGUUUAUUUAUACAUCAAGUAUAUCUCAGAAACCACCAACAGACCUACAACUGCAUGGAAUCACCAUAGCACUCAAGCCAAUUAAAGCCCUUCAAAGCAUC